Solanum dulcamara is the source of this 597-nucleotide long non-coding RNA. RefSeq lists it as uncharacterized. The transcript is spliced from 5 exons. The record is from RefSeq and is a predicted model, not a curated record. NCBI's taxonomy places the organism in Eukaryota, Viridiplantae, Streptophyta, Magnoliopsida, Solanales, Solanaceae.
AAAUUGUUCAUAUGCAAUUCAAAAUAUUGAACAAGUCCAUAAAGAAGUCUCUAAAGAGAUACGUCGACCGGAAGUUCAAACGUUUGGAGAAUAAAAUUGAUUCAAAUCAUAUUGAUCUUUUGAAAGCCAUCGACAGUAUAGCGCACCGCAUGACUGGCACAUCAUCUCAACUUAAAACAGAUGAUUUUGAUCAAACAUUCCAUGUGGUGAAACAACAACAAGCACCUACUGGAUCGGAGGAGCACAAUCUUGCAAAUAAAUUUGACCCACCCCAAGCAAAUGACCAAUCUAAUGUCCAGGAAGAUAUUAAGGGACCUGAACCAUCCACCAUGAUACAAAAGGUGGACAAUGUAUCAAAAUAAAAUAUUUCAUCAGAUGUUCCAGAAUUAUUUGAUCAGCAUGUUUCUUCUGAUACAUUAAAGGAAGCUGAACCAUCCAACAAGAUACAAAAGAUGGAUGAUGUAUCAGAACACAACAUUGUAGCAGAUGAUGCAAAAUUAUUUGAUAAGCAUAUGUCAGCAGAUACAUUAAAAGAACCGGAAACAUUCAUUAUUACACCAUAAUUAAAGAAUGUAUCAGCACACCAAAUGAAACCAC